UUAAAAUUAUGCACAAAUAUUUUAGAUUUCCUUUCCGAAACACUCUCCAUGUCGGCGUAGUAUUGAUGCGGUGCCAAUUAAAAUUGAUUGAAAAUUCCCAGGAUUCCUCAGGCAUUCCUCAUGUGGCACGUGGGUCGCCGCCUCGAGAGCGGCAGCUGCUCCUCCUUGAUCCUUUCCUAUUAGCAUGCAGCAUUUGGCUUCUUUUGAAGUGUCUAGCAGUAGUUCUGCCACAGCUAUAGAUAGACUUCUGUGUCCACUGCUGUAUCUGCGUCGCCGCCUGGUCUCGACUUUCUGCUUGAAUGGCUUUUG
RNAcentral lists this long non-coding RNA (309 nucleotides) under Drosophila guanche. Lineage: Eukaryota; Metazoa; Arthropoda; Insecta; Diptera; Drosophilidae. The record is from RNAcentral.